UACGGAGGGGGCUAGCGUUGUUCGGAAUUACUGGGCGUAAAGCGCACGUAGGCGGACUGGAAAGUCAGGGGUGAAAUCCCGGGGCUCAACCCCGGACUGCCUUUGUAAACUACCCGGUCUUGAGGUCGAGAGAGGUGAGUGGAAUUCCGAGUGUAGAGGUGAAAUUCGUAGAUAUUCGGAGGAACACCAGUGGCGAAGGCGGCUCACUGGCUCGAUACUGACGCUGAGGUGCG
Molecule: ribosomal RNA, 233 nt
Filed under: uncultured bacterium
Lineage: Bacteria
Description: partial 16S ribosomal RNA
Rfam family: Bacterial small subunit ribosomal RNA
Source: RNAcentral